GAUGAACGCUAGCUACAGGCUUAACACAUGCAAGUCGAGGGGUAACAAGAGAAAAGCUUGCUUUUCUUGUUGACGACCGGCGCACGGGUGAGUAACGCGUAUCCAACCUGCCUAUAACUAGGGAAUAACCUUGCGAAAGUAAGACUAAUACCCUAUGAUUUCCUUUGAUGACAUCAGAUUAGGAAUAAAGAUUUAUCGGUUAUAGAUGGGGAUGCGUCUGAUUAGCUUGUUGGCGGGGUAACGGCCCACCAAGGCAACGAUCAGUAGGGGUUCUGAGAGGAAGGUCCCCCACAUAGGAACUGAGACACGGGCCAAACUGCUACGGGAGGCAGCAGUGAGGAAUAUUGGUCAAUGGGCGGAAGCCUGAACCAGCCAAGUAGCGUGCAGGAUGACGGCCCUAUGGGUUGUAAACUGCUUUUAUACAGGAAUAAAGUUAGCCACGUGUGGUUAUUUGUAGGUACUGUAUGAAUAAGGACCGGCUAAUUCCGUGCCAGCAGCCGCGGUAA
Molecule: ribosomal RNA, 506 nt
Filed under: uncultured bacterium
Lineage: Bacteria
Description: partial 16S ribosomal RNA
Rfam family: Bacterial small subunit ribosomal RNA
Source: RNAcentral